CAAUAGCGUAUAUUAAAGCUGUUGCGGUUAAAAAGCUCGUAGUUGGAUUUCUGUCAAGGACAACUGGUCCGCCCUCCGGGUGAGCACAUAGUUUGGUCUUGACAUCUUGCUGGAAGCUGUUGCUGCACUUGGCUGUGUGGCGCAGUGUUCAGCACUUUCACUUUGAGGAAAUUGGAGUGUUUCAAGCAGGCACAUGCCUUUGGACACAGUAGCAUGGAAUAAUUAGAUUGGGCUUUUGCUCCAAUUUGUCGGUUUCUGGGGCUGAGGUGAGUAUUAAUGGGGAUUGUUGGGGGCAUCCGAAUUUAGCCGUCAGAGGUGAAAUUCUUGGAUCUGCUAAAGACGGACAACUGCGAAAGCGUUUGCCCAGGAUGUUUUCAUUGA
This 381-nucleotide ribosomal RNA is filed under the name uncultured eukaryote. RNAcentral describes it as "partial 18S ribosomal RNA". It matches the Rfam family "Eukaryotic small subunit ribosomal RNA", at positions 592 to 976 of the family's 1831-position model. The record is from RNAcentral.